This 421-nucleotide ribosomal RNA is filed under the name Verrucomicrobiota bacterium. Its description in RNAcentral is "Verrucomicrobia bacterium partial 16S ribosomal RNA". It matches the Rfam family "Bacterial small subunit ribosomal RNA", at positions 355 to 775 of the family's 1533-position model. Lineage: Bacteria; Pseudomonadati; Verrucomicrobiota. The record is from RNAcentral.
UGGGGAAUUUUGCACAAUGGGCGCAAGCCUGAUGCAGCGACGCCGCGUGAGGGAUGAAGGCCUUCGGGUUGUAAACCUUUUUCGCUCAUGGUCAAGCCGCAGCUUUGGGUUGUGGUGAGGGUAGUGGGUAAAGAAGCGCCGGCUAACUACGUGCCAGCAGCCGCGGUAAUACGUAUGGAGCAAGCGUUAUCCGGAUUCAUUGGGCGUAAAGCGCUCGUAGGCGGUCUGUUAGGUCGGCAAGUUAAAUCCGGGGGCUCAACCCCCGUCCGCUUCCGAUACCGGCAGACUUGAGUUUGGUAGGGGAAGGUGGAAUUCCUAGUGUAGCGGUGGAAUGCGCAGAUAUUAGGAAGAACACCGGUGGCGAAGGCGGCCUUCUGGGCCAUAACUGACGCUGAGGAGCGAAAGCUAGGGGAGCGAACAG